Molecule: ribosomal RNA, 465 nt
Filed under: uncultured bacterium
Lineage: Bacteria
Description: partial 16S ribosomal RNA
Rfam family: Bacterial small subunit ribosomal RNA
Source: RNAcentral
CCUACGGGUGGCAGCAGUGGGGAAUAUUGCGCAAUGGGCGAAAGCCUGACGCAGCGACGCCGCGUGAGUGAUGAAGGUCUUCGGAUCGUAAACCUCUGUCAGCAGGGAAGAACGGUCACUGUGCUAAUCAGCAGUGAAUUGACGGUACCUGCAAAGGAAGCACCGGCUAACUCCGUGCCAGCAGCCGCGGUAAUACGGAGGGUGCGAGCGUUAAUCGGAAUUACUGGGCGUAAAGCGCUCGUAGGCGGUAUGUCAAGUCAAGGGUGAAAUCCCCGCGCUCAACGUGGGAACUGCCUUUGAAACUGGCAAACUGGAGUGUGGGAGAGGAUAGUGGAAUUCCAGGUGUAGGAGUGAAAUGCGUAGAUAUCUGGAGGAACAUCAGUGGCGAAGGCGACUAUCUGGCACAUAACUGACGCUGAGGAGCGAAAGCGUGGGUAGCAAACAGGAUUAGAUACCCGUGUAGUC